Molecule: long non-coding RNA, 3503 nt
Organism: Papaver somniferum (opium poppy)
Lineage: Eukaryota; Viridiplantae; Streptophyta; Magnoliopsida; Ranunculales; Papaveraceae
Exons: 2
Source: RefSeq, a predicted model, not a curated record
CUUUCUUUCUCUUUGUUUUUAUUAUUCAUCAUCUUCUUUGCUGGUAAAUGGAAACACUAGAAGAACUUGAUGGAAAAUCUGCAUGAACGAGGUUAUAAAAAAUGAAUCUGAGUGUUGUAAGUGUUUCUUAUCACCAUUAACAUAAUGUUGUUACUUCUUCCUUUCUUUUAUUUCAUCUUCUCUUUUCUUAAAAACUGAAUAUUAAGAAGAACACUUUGAAGAUGAAGAUCAGUGGGCUUUUAGAGAAAUGUUUUCUUUGAAUUUUUGUUAUCAUUCAAGUGGGUUGGUUUCAUAAACCGAUUAGAGAUAUUACUCCGUGUGGUUUUCAUCAAAUCUGAAAUUUUGUUGAGGUAAUCAGUUCCUCGUUCAACCUACUAUAGUGAAUCGCAACAAUCGGUUGGUUUGAUUUAUUACACUUAAUACGUGUUUUAAAUAAAUAUUGUACUAAAAUUUAUUCUUCAAAUUCGAGUAUUUUUGUAAACACGGAGAAGUUAGGGUUCAUACAAACCUAGAGUUUUUGUAAAAAUUGGGUGAUUAAACUUCAAUUUUUGUGAUAAUGAAAUAUGGGAUACCUUCUUUUUAUGUUUAUCAAGUCGAAUAAGGUAAGUUAGUAUGUUUGAAUGGUUAGUAAUGUUGGGUUUCUUUGAAUUAAAGCUUACUGUGUGCUAUUUGAAGAAGGUAUUUAUGCAUAACAUGUUUGUAGGAUUUCCUCUACGGAAUUCAUAGAUUGCUAUUAAAGCUUGCAACUACCUUAAGGUCUUCGUAAAGUUUCUCCCUAAUGAAUUCAAUGCAUCUCAAUGAUGGUUGGAGAUACCCGUAGAGAAAUCAGUAGAUGUUAAGGUCUUUGUAAUGCUUGCUAAUGUGUUGGUGGCAGUUGUAUAUCUUGUCCAUUUGCUAAGAAUGGAUGAGUCGUCGUUUAAAAUCUAGUAGACUAUCUACGUUUCUCAAGGGCUGUUGUAUGAGUUUUAUGACGGAUGGGUUGGUGGAGCAUCAGUGAAGGUAAGUCACUCCCGGACCACCAUUUAUUAGUGCUUGUAUUUGAGUAGAAAUGUUAUAGCUAAUCCGAAACUUUGCUUGGGUGAUGAAACCUUAGAAUUGAAUUGAUAUUUUGACGUUUAGAACUCAGGAAAUGUUGACACCAUAAAAUGAAAUCCAACCGUUAGAAUUAAGUGAAUUUUGGAUAUGUUAGGCUCGUAUAUGUCAGGAAGACUCGGUUAAAAUUUCAGGACGAUCGGACACGGGUAAGUGGCAGAAAGUUCUGUAUUACAGAGAACCGCACAACAUUCCUACCUUGUGUCCAAACUUAGUUCUUAUUUCAUCCUUUGGACUUGGAAUUUCACUGCCUUUGUUUGGUAAUUCUCACAUCUCUUGCUGCUUGUGUCAGGUCCUCUUAUAUAUAUAUUGCAAACACUUUGAAUUCCCAUAUCGGCAUGUUUCAACUGUUAUGGAAGUGGCACAGAUGGGUAUCGACUGUUGGAGUGUCAUGUGGGCUCAAUAUCUAUGUUCUCAUGUAAAUUUACUAGUAUGGUAAUACAGUAUCUCAUCCGCAUGGGUUAUGGAUUCAUGAGAAUCCCAUUUUUGAUCUCUUUUGCAUAUUCAUAUGUAUGUAUAUGACUCUCUCUUUCUGUGGUGUCUAAUGCUCAGGGGAUGAUUGUUCAUUCCCUGUUUGAGUGUAUCAUCAUUACUCAAUAGCUUGAUCUCUAGGGGGUUUGCAUAAAAUCCACUUGACGCCACUGAUGUCUAGAGACUUAGGAACUCAUUUAAAUUCUUUGAUUCUAUUUUGUACAUGUAUUCUUAGUUCCAUACUUGGGGAUGGUGUUCUAUCCAACUCUACCUGAUUUUACAUUGGGUGUCGUAGGCAGGUACGAUUGGAAGUAGAGACACUUUCUACUGCCUUCAUACUGUUGUUUUAUUUUCUAAAGUCACUAUGAAGUGUAUAAACUUGUCAACAUUUCGUGUUGUAGAUAAAUUUACGCGAAAAUGCACAGCAAGCAACAUGAAGACUUGACCACUUACUUACAUUAAUGUAUAUUUUAGCAAGGGGCAAGAUCAACGGAAAUUCCAAUUUAGUGGUAAAUUUGGUGGAUUUGUUGGUUAAUUUAGUAUAGGAAUUCUACGGUGGUUUCUUUGUAUUAUUUGUCGAGGUGAAAUUAAAUUUAUAAUUCGUGUUGCUUUGCAGGCUAUCGUAAAUCCACUAAAUUUGUAUAUUCUCAUUUUAUUUUAUGUCCCUCUUUAGAUGCAUGUUAGUCUUUAUUUAUGGGGUUGGCUAGCAGUUUCUGUUUAUUGGAACUUCUCAAUUUUUGUAGACUUUAUGCAUAUAGUGCGAAAAUUCUCGUAGUAUUUCGUUUUAGACUUCAGGUACUACUAUGAUAGAAUUUCGCAUGCCUUAAAAUCUCUGGAGUUGUAUUUCAUUUUAAUAUACUCUAUUUAGGAUUCAGAAACAAGAAAGUAUGGAGCCUUCUUAAUUUACUGUUUGUGUGAACAUUCAUUUUUCUCAAGCUGCUUACUUGUUGCUUAUAUAAUGUGUAUGAUGUGUAUGGAGUUCGAGACUAAUUUGUAAAGUGUUGGUCUUUACUUGCAUCUGAUUAAACUCUUAUCCUGUUAAAAAUGAUAAUGAUGGAGAAGUGGUAAGGUGGAGAUAGUUGUUGUUACGCAAAUUCAUAUUAUCUCUCAUAAGAGUUGAUUACUACAUAGGUAGUUCAUAUCAUCUGAUAAGAGAUAGUUACUAUCACCGUGCAUGCUAUCUAAACAAACGAUGGCGAACUACGGUCGUGCUUGAUCCCUUCGAGCAACGGAGAGGGUACGUUGGAAGCCGCUAUGCGGUUCAACACAACUCUACAAGGAUGUUUAUAUCAUCUGAAAGUCGUGGUUACCGAUUUGCAGUUCAUACCAUCUAUUCAGAGAUGAUUGCAACCUUGGCAAGUAUAUAUCAUGGGCAACUGACCAAUGAUGGCUGGUAACCAGAACUACCUUAAUUUAGCAACUGGUCGUCUGUUAUUUUGGGCAAUUGGCCCGUGGUAAUCUGGAAAAUGGCCGUCUGUUAUUAUUGGGCAAUUGGCCCGUGUCAAUUUGGCAACUGGCCGCCUGCUAUUUUGGGCAAUUUGCCCGUAUUAAUUUGGUAACUGGUCGUCUGUUAUUAUUGGGCAAUUGGCUUGUGUUAAUUUGGCAACUGGGCGUGUGUGAAUUUUGGUAACUGUCCGUCCGUGAAUUUUGGAUUAUGAAUGAACCAAAUUUUUACUUGAAUGGCGUAUUAGAGAGUCGGAGCUUGCCAUGCGGAUCGAACCCGACUCGUUGGAAGCAAAAAUUUUCUGGUUCGUCACAGGAUGGAUAACGACACCCCACUACAUAAGAUAAGGGUCACCCCAGAUUGAGUGCCCUAUAACACAGGUGGUCACCCCUUAAAUUCGUCUGGUUGUCUUGAAUGCUCCUCUAAGAGAGUUGCCCCUUAACCUUGAUUGGGAUUCCAAUAUCACUGGCUUAUGAAAUGACCUUUUGCCUUUUCA